This 1610-nucleotide long non-coding RNA is filed under the name Bos grunniens (domestic yak). RNAcentral describes it as "lncRNA (ENSBGRG00000009852.1)". The record is from RNAcentral. Lineage: Eukaryota; Metazoa; Chordata; Mammalia; Artiodactyla; Bovidae.
GGGCAAGCCUGUGACUCCUGAUGUAGGGUAAAUGUUCACAGAGGGUAAUGAGUGUAGCGUAUUAAAGAGUAAUGAAUCAGUUUGGAAAUUUUGUGAGAUAUGGUUGCAAUUAAGAACAUAAAAUAAUUACUAUUUUAGAGUGUAGCCCUAUGCCACCCCUUUCUCUUCAACUUUCUUUCCUGAGUUUCUCUCUUCAUAGCAUAUUAUCUCACAUUCAACUUGUACCCUAUUAGUUAAAUGAGGAACACUGGCAUUUUUAGACUGAAAUAACCCCUAGGUAAGCCAAACACUGACUUUCUCAACAAUUGUUGUAUGGCCUGUCCUCCUCUUAAGCCAGCACCAAGGCCGUCUUGAAAUUAGUGGCAAAGAGGCCAAGAGAUAAGGUUAGGUGUUACAGUUGUGGUUUUCAGUUGGGAGAGAUAACUAACUUUGGAGGUUGGCAAGGAAACAGAAAAGUUUAUUAAAGGCCUCAGGGAAGCCAGAAGGGACUUGGUAACCUGAUAAGAGUGCUGAGGUCAGGACAGGGUAGGGGUGGCAUUGGGGGUGAGAAUGGUACUGGCAGGGGUGGUGGAGGAUGUAUGGGAGGCUGAAGCUGAGCCUGAGGAAUUGUACAUAAUAUUCUCUUGUAACAUUUUUUUUUUAAGUUUCAUAUCUACUGGUGUCAUUUUUAAUAUUUUUCCCAUCAGUAUUGCACAAGUACUGAAAAUGUGCUUGGUCUGACAAGGUGAAUUAUAAGAAUAUUUAAACAAAACAGAACAACACACACACACCUCAUUAGUUUGGGAAUUUCAUCACACUACAGCCACAUUCUUUUACGUUUACUACUUGUGUGCUUUCCUAGAUUGCCCAACCAAAAAAAAUAAAGCUCCCUAUUUCACAUCAUCCCCUACCCUGUUUGUUAAAAGUGGAAAAUUAGUAUUUAUUUGCCCCAACUGGCACUCUAGCAUAUAUUGCUCACUUGCCUGAUCUCAUGUUAGCCUGGGGCGAGGUGAACUGGAGUCUGAAACACUGAGAAAGUCCCGAGAUGAGACAGAAAAAGAGAUAGGGACAUGCAGGAGUAUUCUUUUAAAAGUUACUUUAAUAUUCACCCUCUUUCAGCCUUGAACAUCUUCAGUACUUGCCCCAGAUCGCUUAGGCGCAACAGUAGAAGGAGCAGUUGGUAGGGAAGGGUUCAUCUUUUUAUUCAGCAGCUGGGAAACCGUCGCUCUGCCGCUGGGGGAGGAGCAGGGUUUUUCCCUAAGGUGCAGUUGUGGGGUGAGGUUGGGGGCGGCACACUGAGCCUCCGCCUGAGAGCCGGAAGCAGGCACUGGAGGGGGAGUGGCGCUGAGCCGGGGGAGGAGUGAGAGAAGGAAGCGGCAGUCCCUUGGCAUACGGAGCCAGCUGAAAAUCAGGGUUGAAUGUUAAAAAGGGAGCGUAUUUAGCGACACUCCUGGCCCCGAAGAAAGGAACUGAGGCGACACGAAUCCCCCUGUCCAACACCCAGAAGACGAGACACAAGUGCCAGGGCCGCCAGCAGCUGUUAGGCGCUUUUUGGUGACGCGGCCUCCGCGCGCAGACGCGCUGACGGGCCGCGGCCUCCACGUCGCAGGUUCCGCAAAGGCUUGUGGGAG